RNAcentral lists this ribosomal RNA (414 nucleotides) under soil bacterium 1V-15. RNAcentral describes it as "bacterial SSU rRNA". It matches the Rfam family "Bacterial small subunit ribosomal RNA", at positions 24 to 484 of the family's 1533-position model. The record is from RNAcentral.
UCAGAAUGAACGCUGGCGGCAUGCCUAACACAUGCAAGUCGAACGAGACCUUCGGGUCUAGUGGCGCACGGGUGCGUAACGCGUGGGAAUCUGCCCUUGGGUUCGGAAUAACAGUGAGAAAUUACUGCUAAUACCGAAUGAUGACGUAAGUCCAAAGAUUUAUCGCCCAGGGAUGAGCCCGCGUAGGAUUAGCUAGUUGGUGAGGUAAAAGCUCACCAAGGCGACGAUCCUUAGCUGGUCUGAGAGGAUGAUCAGCCACACUGGGACUGAGACACGGCCCAGACUCCUACGGGAGGCAGCAGUGGGGAAUAUUGGACAAUGGGCGAAAGCCUGAUCCAGCAAUGCCGCGUGAGUGAUGAAGGCCUUAGGGUUGUAAAGCUCUUUUACCCGGGAUGAUAAUGACAGUACCGGAGA